RNAcentral lists this ribosomal RNA (775 nucleotides) under uncultured Neocallimastigales. RNAcentral describes it as "partial large subunit ribosomal RNA". It matches the Rfam family "Eukaryotic large subunit ribosomal RNA", at positions 26 to 628 of the family's 3401-position model. Lineage: Eukaryota; Fungi; Neocallimastigomycota; Neocallimastigomycetes; Neocallimastigales. The record is from RNAcentral.
CGUCUAUAUACGUAUAGCAUAUCAAUAAGCGGAGGAAAAGAAACUAACUAGGAUUCCCUCAGUAACGGCGAGUGAAGCGGGAAGAGCUCAAAUUUGAAAUCUUCAAGGUUCUACCUUGACGAAUUGUAGUUUAAAGAAGUGUUUUCUGUUGGAGUUUUGGUAAAAGUUCUUUGGAAUAGGACAUCAUAGAGGGUGAGAAUCCCGUAUUUGACCAUUAUUUCCAACUUUGUGAUACACUUUCAAAGAGUCGGAUUGUUUGGGAAUGCAGUCCAAAAUGGGUGGUAAAUUUCAUCUAAAGCUAAAUACUGGCGAGAGACCGAUAGCGAACAAGUACCGUGAGGGAAAGAUGAAAAGAACUUUGAAAAGAGAGUUAAACAGUACGUGAAAUUGUCAAAAGGGAAGCGUUUGACACCAGUGUUGUUUUCUCGAAAAUCAAUUAAAAAUGGCGGGAUUUUGUGUUGUAUUGACUUUAUCAGCUUUCUGCACUUUUUUCCUGUCUUUUUUAAUGCACUUUUCGUUUAACAAGUCAACAUCAAUUUCUUUUGUUGUAAAAGGGUCAUUGGAAGGUGGCUUUCUUUUCGGAGAAAGUGUUUAUAGCCUUUGACUUCUGCAAUCGGAGAGACUUGAGGUCUGCAGCGUAGAUCCUUCUGGAUUAGAUACAUUUGUGCUAAGUUAUAGCCUUUCAUAGACAACUUGUUGACUAUGAUCAGUCAUGUAGCUUACUCGCUUAUGUUAUUUUACCUACGCUUAGGAUGUUGACGAUCAGCUGAGCGCG